UGGGGAAUAUUGGACAAUGGGCGCAAGCCUGAUCCAGCAAUUCCGCGUGGGUGAAGAAGGUCUUCGGAUUGUAAAGCCCUUUCGGCAGGGACGAUGAUGACGGUACCUGCAGAAGAAGCCCCGGCUAACUUCGUGCCAGCAGCCGCGGUAAUACGAAGGGGGCUAGCGUUGCUCGGAAUGACUGGGCGUAAAGGGCGCGUAGGCGGUUUGCACAGUCAGGCGUGAAAUUCCCGGGCUUAACCUGGGGGCUGCGUUUGAUACGUGCGGACUUGAGGAUGAGAGAGGCUCGUGGAAUUCCCAGUGUAGAGGUGAAAUUCGUAGAUAUUGGGAAGAACACCGGUGGCGAAGGCGGCGAGCUGGCUCAUUUCUGACGCUGAGGCGCGAAAGCGUGGGGAGCAAACAGG
This 404-nucleotide ribosomal RNA is filed under the name uncultured bacterium. RNAcentral's name for it is "bacterial SSU rRNA". It matches the Rfam family "Bacterial small subunit ribosomal RNA", at positions 355 to 776 of the family's 1533-position model. The record is from RNAcentral.